CGCUGAACUUAAGCAUAUCACUAAGCGGAGGAAAAGAAACUACCAGG
Molecule: ribosomal RNA, 47 nt
Filed under: Maritrema subdolum
Lineage: Eukaryota; Metazoa; Platyhelminthes; Trematoda; Plagiorchiida; Microphallidae
Also listed under: 9 other names
Description: partial 28S ribosomal RNA
Source: RNAcentral